RNAcentral lists this ribosomal RNA (1237 nucleotides) under metagenome. Its description in RNAcentral is "bacterial SSU rRNA". It matches the Rfam family "Bacterial small subunit ribosomal RNA", at positions 261 to 1520 of the family's 1533-position model. The record is from RNAcentral.
UGGCUCACCAAGUCGAUGACGCCUAACUGGUUUGAGAGGAUGAUCAGUCACACUGGAACUGAGACACGGUCCAGACUCCUACGGGAGGCAGCAGGGGGGAAUAUUGCACAAUGGAGGAAACUCUGAUGCAGCAACGCCGCGUGGAGGAUGACACUUUUCGGAGCGUAAACUCCUUUUAUAUAGGAAGAUAAUGACGGUACUAUAUGAAUAAGCACCGGCUAACUCCGUGCCAGCAGCCGCGGUAAUACGGAGGGUGCAAGCGUUACUCGGAAUCACUGGGCGUAAAGAGCGUGUAGGCGGAUAGAUAAGUUUGAAGUGAAAUCCAAUGGCUUAACCAUUGAACUGCUUUGAAGACUGUCUGUCUAGAAUAUGGGAGAGGUAGAUGGAAUUUCUGGUGUAGGGGUAAAAUCCGUAGAGAUCAGAAGGAAUACCGAUUGCGAAGGCGAUCUACUAGAACAUUAUUGACGCUGAGACGCGAAAGCGUGGGGAGCAAACAGGAUUAGAUACCCUGGUAGUCCGCGCCCUAAACGAUGUACACUAGUUGUUGCGAUGCUAGACAUUGCAGUAAUGCAGUUAACACAUUAAGUGUACCGCCUGGGGAGUACGGUCGCAAGAUUAAAACUCAAAGGAAUAGACGGGGACCCGCACAAGCGGUGGAGCAUGUGGUUUAAUUCGACAUACGCGAAGAACCUUACCUGGACUUGACAUAGUAAGAACUUUCUAGAGAUAGAUUGGUGUCUGCUUGCAGAAACUUAUAUACAGGUGCUGCACGGCUGUCGUCAGCUCGUGUCGUGAGAUGUUGGGUUAAGUCCCGCAACGAGCGCAACCCUCGUCGUUAGUUGCUAACAGUUCGGCUGAGAACUCUAACGAGACUGCCUACGCAAGUAGGAGGAAGGUGAGGACGACGUCAAGUCAUCAUGGCCCUUACGUCCAGGGCUACACACGUGCUACAAUGGGGCAUACAAAGAGCAGCAAUACGGUGACGUGGAGCAAAUCUCAAAAAUGCCUCCCAGUUCGGAUAGUAGUCUGCAACUCGACUACUUGAAGUUGGAAUCGCUAGUAAUCGUAGAUCAGCAAUGCUACGGUGAAUACGUUCCCGGGUCUUGUACUCACCGCCCGUCACACCAUGGGAGUUGAACUCAUUCGAAGCGGGGAUGCUAAAGUAGCUACCCUCCACAGUGGAUUCAGCGACUGGGGUGAAGUCGUAACAAGGUAACCGUAGGAGAACCUGCGGUUG